GUGGGGAAUAUUGCACAAUGGGGGAAACCCUGAUGCAGCAACGCCGCGUGAGUGAUGACGGCCUUCGGGUUGUAAAGCUCUGUCUUCAGGGACGAUAAUGACGGUACCUGAGGAGGAAGCCACGGCUAACUACGUGCCAGCAGCCGCGGUAAUACGUAGGUGGCAAGCGUUGUCCGGAUUUACUGGGCGUAAAGGGAGCGUAGGCGGACUUUUAAGUGGGAUGUGAAAUACCCGGGCUUAACCUGGGUGCUGCAUUCCAAACUGGGAGUCUAGAGUGCAGGAGGGGAAAGUGGAAUUCCUAGUGUAGCGGUGAAAUGCGUAGAGAUUAGGAAGAACACCAGUGGCGAAGGCGACUUUCUGGACUGUAACUGACGCUGAGGCUCGAAAGCGUGGGGAGCGAACAGGAUUAGAAACCCCAGUAGUCC
RNAcentral lists this ribosomal RNA (425 nucleotides) under uncultured bacterium. RNAcentral's name for it is "bacterial SSU rRNA". It matches the Rfam family "Bacterial small subunit ribosomal RNA", at positions 354 to 796 of the family's 1533-position model. The record is from RNAcentral.